ACGAACGCUGGCGGCAUGCCUAACACAUGCAAGUCGAACGAGACCUUCGGGUCUAGUGGCGCACGGGUGCGUAACGCGUGGGAACCUGCCCUUAGGUUCGGAAUAACUCCCCGAAAGGGGUGCUAAUACCGGAUAAUGUCUUCGGACCAAAGAUUUAUCGCCUUUGGAUGGGCCCGCGUUGGAUUAGCUAGUUGGUAGGGCAAAAGCCUACCAAGGCGACGAUCCAUAGCUGGUCUGAGAGGAUGAUCAGCCACACUGGGACUGAGACACGGCCCAGACUCCUACGGGAGGCAGCAGUGGGGAAUAUUGGACAAUGGGCGAAAGCCUGAUCCAGCAAUGCCGCGUGAGUGAUGAAGGCCUUAGGGUUGUAAAGCUCUUUUACCCGGGAUGAUAAUGACAGUACCGGGAGAAUAAGCUCCGGCUAACUCCGUG
RNAcentral lists this ribosomal RNA (432 nucleotides) under uncultured bacterium. Its description in RNAcentral is "partial 16S ribosomal RNA". It matches the Rfam family "Bacterial small subunit ribosomal RNA", at positions 29 to 507 of the family's 1533-position model. The record is from RNAcentral.